AGCAUUUCCCAGAAGAAAGCCGUAGGGUUGUGGGCAAGCGAUGGCCGCUGUGUCUGUUGUUACACCAGCACGUGAGAGUGGGGCUAACAGGCUCCUUCAUACGUGUUUAUUCAACACGUAUUUAUUGAACUCGUUCUUACGCCAGGUGUUCCUGACUCUCCAGACAUUGAGGCCUACAUGCUUUCCUGCCGUUGCUGGGGUAACAUACUGUAUAGAGAAUCCGGGCCACAUUGGGAUAUGAGCACGGCACACAGAAAACAGGGAGGGAUUCAAAGACCUAGGAGAGAGCAUCUGAGUGAAGGAGCAGACCCCCUUGCUGUCCUGGGACUUUGAGAGGAAGGACCAGGGCACUUCUGCUCCUGCAGAAGUCCCUGGAUCCACCAGCAUCACCUUCAGUGGGAGAGAGGUAAUGCAGGGUGCUGCUAGGAAAGGGAGGAGAGCCCAGG
This is a non-coding RNA of Equus caballus (horse), 446 nucleotides long. The record is from RefSeq and is a predicted model, not a curated record. NCBI's taxonomy places the organism in Eukaryota, Metazoa, Chordata, Mammalia, Perissodactyla, Equidae.